GUUGUAUGGUUAAGUGACUAAGCGUACACGGUGGAUGCCUUGGCAGUCAGAGGCGAUGAAAGACGUAGUAACUUGCGAUAAGCCCAGAUUAGGUAGUAACAACCAUUUGAGUCUGGGAUUUCUGAAUGGGGAAACCCACGUGCAUAAGCACGUAUCCUUACCUGAAUACAUAGGGUAAGGAGGCGAACCGGGGGAACUGAAACAUCUAAGUACCCCGAGGAAAAGAAAUCAACCGAGAUUCCGAAAGUAGCGGCGAGCGAAAUUGGACUAGCCCUUAAGCUUUACACGCGUUAGACGAACGGUCUGGAAAGUCCGACGAUACAGGGUGAUAGUCCCGUAGUUGACGACGUGUGUUCAGUGAAAUCGAGUAGGGCGGGACACGUGAUAUCCUGUCUGAAUAUGGGGGGACCAUCCUCCAAGGCUAAAUACUACUGACUGACCGAUAGUGAACCAGUACCGUGAGGGAAAGGCGAAAAGAACCCCUGUGAGGGGAGUGAAAUAGAACCUGAAACCGUGUACGUACAAGCAGUAGGAGCAGGCUUUGUCCUGUGACUGCGUACCUUUUGUAUAAUGGGUCAGCGACUUAUAUUCAGUGGCAAGGUUAACCAUCUAGGGGAGCCGUAGGGAAACCGAGUCUUAACUGGGCGUUCAGUCUCUGGAUAUAGACCCGAAACCAGGUGAUCUAGCCAUGGGCAGGUUGAAGGUUGAGUAACAUCAACUGGAGGACCGAACCGACUAAUGUUGAAAAAUUAGCGGAUGACUUGUGGCUAGGGGUGAAAGGCCAAUCAAACCUGGAGAUAGCUGGUUCUCCCCGAAAGCUAUUUAGGUAGCGCCUCGGACGAAUACUACUGGGGGUAGAGCACUGUUAAGGCUAGGGGGUCAUCCCGACUUACCAACCCUUUGCAAACUCCGAAUACCAGUAAGUACUAUCCGGGAGACACACGGCGGGUGCUAACGUCCGUCGUGGAGAGGGAAACAACCCAGACCGCCAGCUAAGGUCCCAAAUUACUACUAAGUGGGAAACGAUGUGGGAAGGCUCAGACAGCCAGGAUGUUGGCUUAGAAGCAGCCAUCAUUUAAAGAAAGCGUAAUAGCUCACUGGUCGAGUCGGCCUGCGCGGAAGAUGUAACGGGGCUAAGUAGUAAACCGAAGCUGCGGCAAUGUGCUUUUGCACAUUGGGUAGGGGAGCGUUCUGUAAGCGGUUGAAGGUGUGUGGUAACGCAUGCUGGACGUAUCAGAAGUGCGAAUGCUGACAUGAGUAACGAUAAAGGGGGUGAAAAACCUCCUCGCCGGAAGACCAAGGGUUCCUGUCCAACGUUAAUCGGGGCAGGGUAAGUCGACCCCUAAGGCGAGGCCGAAAGGCGUAGUCGAUGGGAAACGGGUUAAUAUUCCCGUACUUCUUACAAUUGCGAUGGGGGACGGAGAAGGCUAGGUGGGCCUGGCGACGGUUGUCCAGGUUCAAGUGCGUAGGCUUAAGAGUUAGGUAAAUCCGGCUCUUUCUAAGGCUGAGACACGACGUCGAGCACCUACGGGUGUGAAGUCAUUGAUGCCAUGCUUCCAGGAAAAGCCUCUAAGCUUCAGAUUGUAAGGAAUCGUACCCCAAACCGACACAGGUGGUCGGGUAGAGAAUACCAAGGCGCUUGAGAGAACUCGGGUGAAGGAACUAGGCAAAAUGGUACCGUAACUUCGGGAGAAGGUACGCUCUUGAUGGUGAAGUCCCUUGCGGAUGGAGCUGACGAGAGUCGCAGAUACCAGGUGGCUGCAACUGUUUAUUAAAAACACAGCACUGUGCAAAAUCGUAAGAUGACGUAUACGGUGUGACGCCUGCCCGGUGCCGGAAGGUUAAUUGAUGGGGUUAGACUUCGGUCGAAGCUCUUGAUCGAAGCCCCGGUAAACGGCGGCCGUAACUAUAACGGUCCUAAGGUAGCGAAAUUCCUUGUCGGGUAAGUUCCGACCUGCACGAAUGGCGUAAUGAUGGCCACGCUGUCUCCACCCGAGACUCAGUGAAAUUGAAAUCGCUGUGAAGAUGCAGUGUACCCGCGGCUAGACGGAAAGACCCCGUGAACCUUUACUACAGCUUGGCACUGAACAUUGACCCUACAUGUGUAGGAUAGGUGGGAGGCUUUGAAGCACGUACGCCAGUAUGUGUGGAGCCGUCCUUGAAAUACCACCCUUGUAGUGUUGAUGUUCUAACGUCGACCCCUAAUCGGGGUUGCGGACAGUGCCUGGUGGGUAGUUUGACUGGGGCGGUCUCCUCCCAAAGAGUAACGGAGGAGCACGAAGGUGGGCUAAUCACGGUUGGACAUCGUGAGGUUAGUGCAAUGGCAUAAGCCCGCUUGACUGCGAGAAUGACAAUUCGAGCAGGUGCGAAAGCAGGUCAUAGUGAUCCGGUGGUUCUGAAUGGAAGGGCCAUCGCUCAACGGAUAAAAGGUACUCCGGGGAUAACAGGCUGAUACCGCCCAAGAGUUCAUAUCGACGGCGGUGUUUGGCACCUCGAUGUCGGCUCAUCACAUCCUGGGGCUGAAGUCGGUCCCAAGGGUAUGGCUGUUCGCCAUUUAAAGUGGUACGCGAGCUGGGUUUAGAACGUCGUGAGACAGUUCGGUCCCUAUCUGCCGUGGGCGUUGGAAGAUUGAAGGGGGCUGCUCCUAGUACGAGAGGACCGGAGUGGACGAACCUCUGGUGUUCGGGUUGUGUCGCCAGACGCAUUGCCCGGUAGCUAAGUUCGGAAUCGAUAACCGCUGAAAGCAUCUAAGCGGGAAGCGAGCCCUGAGAUGAGUCUUCCCUGAUACUUUAAGUAUCCUAAAGGGUUGUCGGAGACUACGACGUUGAUAGGUCAGGUGUGUAAGUGCUGUGAGGCAUUGAGCUAACUGAUACUAAUUGCCCGUGAGGCUUAACCAUACAACACCCAAGGGGUUU
This 2915-nucleotide ribosomal RNA is filed under the name Vibrio parahaemolyticus. RNAcentral's name for it is "23S ribosomal RNA". It matches the Rfam family "Bacterial large subunit ribosomal RNA". The record is from RNAcentral. Lineage: Bacteria; Pseudomonadati; Pseudomonadota; Gammaproteobacteria; Vibrionales; Vibrionaceae.